This 468-nucleotide ribosomal RNA is filed under the name uncultured bacterium. Its description in RNAcentral is "partial 16S ribosomal RNA". It matches the Rfam family "Bacterial small subunit ribosomal RNA", at positions 28 to 507 of the family's 1533-position model. The record is from RNAcentral.
GACGAACGCUGGCGGCGUGCUUAACACAUGCAAGUCGAACGGAAAGGCCCUGCUUUUGUGGGGUGCUCGAUUGGCGAACGGGUGAGUAACACGUGAGUAACCUGCCCUUAACUUUGGGAUAACUUCAGGAAACUGGGGCUAAUACCGGAUAGGAUCUCCUGCUGCAUGUUGGGCGUUGGAAAGUUUCGGCGGUGGGGGAUGGACUCGCGGGUUAUCAGCUUGUUGGUGGGGUAGUGGCAUACCAAGGCUUUGACGGGUAGCCGGCCUGGGAGGGUGACCGGCGACAUUGGGACUGAGGUACGGACCAGACUCGUACGGGAGGCAGCAGUGGAGAAUCUUACACAAUGAGCGGAAGCGUGAUACAGCAACGCUGCGUGCGGGAAGACGGCCUUCGGGUUGUGAACCGCUUUCGCCUGUGACGAAGCGUGAGUGACGGUAAUGAGCAAAGAAGCACCGGCUAACUACGUG